Molecule: ribosomal RNA, 461 nt
Filed under: uncultured Actinomycetes bacterium
Lineage: Bacteria; Bacillati; Actinomycetota; Actinomycetes
Description: bacterial SSU rRNA
Rfam family: Bacterial small subunit ribosomal RNA
Source: RNAcentral
UGGAUGAGUGGCGAACGGGUGAGUAACACGUGAGUAACCUGCCCCCUUCUUUGGGAUAACGGUCGGAAACGGCUGCUAAUACCGGGUAUUCACUGUCUUUCGCAUGGGGGGUGGUGGAAAGGUUUUUUCUGGUGGGGGAUGGGCUCGCGGCCUAUCAGCUUGUUGGUGGGGUGAUGGCUUACCAAGGCUUUGACGGGUAACCGGCCUGAGAGGGUGACCGGUCACAUUGGGACUGAGAUACGGCCCAGACUCCUACGGGAGGCAGCAGUGGGGAAUAUUGCACAAUGGGCGAAAGCCUGAUGCAGCGACGCCGCGUGAGGGAUGACGGCCUUCGGGUUGUAAACCUCUUUCGCUCAUGGUCAAGCCGCAACAGUGGUUGUGGUGAGGGUAGUGGGUAAAGAAGCACCGGCUAACUACGUGCCAGCAGCCGCGGUAAUACGUAGGGUGCGAGCGUUGUCCGG